RNAcentral lists this ribosomal RNA (253 nucleotides) under uncultured bacterium. RNAcentral's name for it is "partial 16S ribosomal RNA". It matches the Rfam family "Bacterial small subunit ribosomal RNA", at positions 524 to 776 of the family's 1533-position model. The record is from RNAcentral.
UACAGAGGUCUCAAGCGUUGUUCGGAUUCAUUGGGCGUAAAGGGUGCGUAGGCGGCGCGGUAAGUCGGGUGUGAAAUCUCGGGGCUUAACUCCGAAACUGCAUUCGAUACUGCCGUGCUUGAGGACUGGAGAGGAGACUGGAAUUUACGGUGUAGCGGUGAAAUGCGUAGAUAUCUGGAGGAACACCGGUGGCGAAGGCGGCAUCCUGGACCAAUUCUGACGCUGAGGAGCGAAAGCCAGGGGAGCAAACGGG